RNAcentral lists this ribosomal RNA (253 nucleotides) under uncultured bacterium. Its description in RNAcentral is "partial 16S ribosomal RNA". It matches the Rfam family "Bacterial small subunit ribosomal RNA", at positions 524 to 776 of the family's 1533-position model. The record is from RNAcentral.
UACAGAGGGUGCAAGCGUUGUUCGGAAUUACUGGGCGUAAAGGGCGCGUAGGCGGCCCGCUAAGUCGAACGUGAAAUCCCCGGGCUCAACCCGGGAACUGCGUCCGAUACUGGUGGGCUUGAAUCCGGGAGAGGGAUGCGGAAUUCCAGGUGUAGCGGUGAAAUGCGUAGAUAUCUGGAGGAACACCGGUGGCGAAGGCGGCAUCCUGGACCGGUAUUGACGCUGAGGCGCGAAAGCCAGGGGAGCAAACGGG